This 245-nucleotide long non-coding RNA is filed under the name Malus domestica (apple). Its description in RNAcentral is "long non-coding RNA (MDOM_LNC004249)". The record is from RNAcentral. Lineage: Eukaryota; Viridiplantae; Streptophyta; Magnoliopsida; Rosales; Rosaceae.
GACGAGAAGUAAAUUAAACUUAAAUAAAUUACAGAAUUGACAAAAGCAUGAAAUUAAGGUGAAAUGAUAGGUGAUGGACUAGCUAGAGGGUUCUUCUCCACACAUGACACAAAUGCAACCUAAAUUGAUUUUCAGUUGUUCUUUCAAUAAAUUGUAAAUCUCAACGCCCCGAAUUAACCGUGAAUUGCACUAAUUAACCCUCAGUUUUUCCACAAGUUAUUGGGUUGGAUGAUUGCAUACGACAA